This 249-nucleotide unclassified non-coding RNA is filed under the name Glomeraceae sp. RNAcentral's name for it is "partial contains 5.8S ribosomal RNA and internal transcribed spacer 2". The stretch from base 1 to 71 matches the Rfam family "5.8S ribosomal RNA", at positions 84 to 154 of the family's 154-position model. Lineage: Eukaryota; Fungi; Glomeromycota; Glomeromycetes; Glomerales; Glomeraceae. The record is from RNAcentral.
GUGAAUCAUCAAAUUUUUGAACGCAAAUUGCACUUUCUGGUAUUCCGGGAAGUAUGCCUGUUUGAGGGUCAGUUAAAUUAAAAUAGGUGUUGUUGCUAAAAGUGGUGGUGUGUGAUGCAUCGGACUUGAGUAGUUUUUUACGUUUGGUUUAAGUGAAUUAAAAUUAUGUUCGAUUUUUGAAAGUAUUUAAAUUAUUAUUUAUGUUCGUAUUAUCAAUUCUUAGAUGCGGUCAUUUACAUGCUUACCCGU